RNAcentral lists this ribosomal RNA (515 nucleotides) under uncultured bacterium. RNAcentral's name for it is "partial 16S ribosomal RNA". It matches the Rfam family "Bacterial small subunit ribosomal RNA", at positions 28 to 523 of the family's 1533-position model. The record is from RNAcentral.
GAUGAACACUGGCGGCGUGCCUAAUACAUGCAAGUCGAGCGAAUGGAUUAAGAGCUUGCUCUUAUGAAGUUAGCGGCGGACGGGUGAGUAACACGUGGGUAACCUGCCCAUAAGACUGGGAUAACUCCGGGAAACCGGGGCUAAUACCGGAUAACAUUUUGAACCGCAUGGUUCGAAAUUGAAAGGCGGCUUCGGCUGUCACUUAUGGAUGGACCCGCGUCGCAUUAGCUAGUUGGUGAGGUAACGGCUCACCAAGGCAACGAGGCGUAGCCGACCUGAGAGGGUGAUCGGCCACGCUGGGACUGAGACACGGCCCAGACUCCUACGGGAGGCAGCAGUAGGGAAUCUUCCGCAAUGGACGAAAGUCUGACGGAGCAACGCCGCGUGAGUGAUGAAGGCUUUCGGGUCGUAAAACUCUGUUGUUAGGGAAGAACAAGUGCUAGUUGAAUAAGCUGGCACCUUGACGGUACCUAACCAGAAGGCCACGGCUAACUACGUGCCAGCCGCCGCGGUAA